This 77-nucleotide ribosomal RNA is filed under the name Chlamydia psittaci RD1. It matches the Rfam family "Bacterial small subunit ribosomal RNA", at positions 1457 to 1533 of the family's 1533-position model. The record is from RNAcentral. Lineage: Bacteria; Pseudomonadati; Chlamydiota; Chlamydiia; Chlamydiales; Chlamydiaceae.
CCAAGGUGAGGCUGAUGACUGGGAUGAAGUCGUAACAAGGUAGCCCUACCGGAAGGUGGGGCUGGAUCACCUCCUUU